AAAAUUCUAAUUAAAUUUAAAUAUUAUAAGAAUUAUUUUUUAGUCCGACACAGCACCAAAUAUAAGUCUUCACUAUUUUAUUGGUGCUUACAAUUUCUACAGCCUUUUUAGAAAUAAAAGUAAACAUUAAAUCAUAUAAAGCACGAUAGUUUAUAAUUUCAUUGACUAAUUUUCAAUAAUUAUUUUUUAUACACAAUAUUGGUGAGGUGAAAUUGAACCUAGGACCUCAAGUGCAAGGCUGAAUGCUAAUAUCCACUAAACUUUAGCAUAAAA
RNAcentral lists this long non-coding RNA (273 nucleotides) under Prunus persica (peach). RNAcentral describes it as "long non-coding RNA (PPER_LNC008317)". The record is from RNAcentral. Lineage: Eukaryota; Viridiplantae; Streptophyta; Magnoliopsida; Rosales; Rosaceae.